Molecule: long non-coding RNA, 1549 nt
Organism: Naja naja (Indian cobra)
Lineage: Eukaryota; Metazoa; Chordata; Lepidosauria; Squamata; Elapidae
Source: Ensembl
AGGCUAAAGGAGAGCUUGCUUGGAUGCUGAGUGGAUGCAUUACAGCCCUGUGACUGUCUCUCUUUCAGAUCAAACUAGCGUUGUGCUUUCAAAAUUGGGCUGCAUGAAUGCCAGGAGAUCCAUUGUUGCGUGGGAAGAAAACAUUACAAUAUUGACAUAUAUUUAUCUGAUGCUCAAAACAUUUAAUUUCUAUUUUGGGGUUGUAAUAUGCCUAAUAUAUCAAUACUGUACUGCAUAUAUGAUUAAUUGAUAACAUAUAUUGGCAGUGCCUGCUUAAGAUAAUUUUACUGAUAAGGAGGUAGAAUCCUUACAAGUUUGUUGGCCACUCUGCCAAAGAACUCUGAAACUGGCGUUCCUCCCUGCCCAUUUAUGGAUGGGCCCAUGAAGAAAACAAAAACAAAAGACACGUUUGAGGAUCUUUAUCAGUCCGAUUGUCUUGACACCUUGAAGUUGGUAGAGAUUCAGUUUGUGAGAACCUUCCAACACAGGUGAAAUUGCAGCAAAAAAGGAAGAGCAAACUUUGAAUGAUCUUGUGAAUCUUUUGCAAGAUGUGGUAAAAAAUAUCCCCACAGAACUUGUAUUGUCAACUGAACCACCAGCAACUCUUUUGGUACCCAGGCUAGUAACUUCUCCCUCUGUAGCAAUGGACACUGUUUGGGUGAAUGUGAACCCCCAAAAUAGUGACAAGUCCAGAACAAUUGCCUUGAUGAAAAAGGAUACUCCAACUACAACAGCCUUUUGGAAACUCAGAAAUGACGCAUCUGCAUCUGUUAUCCUGCAUUCCAACCCAAGUCCCUCAGAAUAUCUCCCAAGUGACACAAGUGAGUCUGUUAUUCUGAUUUCUGAAGAGCCAAAUCCAGGAAAUACAUUGGGCACCAUUUCAGUUCAGUUGGAAAAAGAAGCAACCACUAAGAAAGAAGCUCCACCUAUAACAGAAAUGAAGUUGGACAUAGAGCUGCCUUCCUCCCUCUCAUCUGAAGCAUCUGAGACAGAAAUAAAGCUGGACAUAGAUAUCACUCCUUCCUCGUCCACAGUUCCACCCACCACGCAAGUGGAGAUAGAAAUGUCUCCUUCCCCAUCAACAACUGCAUCUGUACCAGAAGUGGACAUCAUUUUGCCUGCAUCUGAGUCUCCGGAAAAGAAAGCAGAAGACACAGAAAAAGAAAUGGGGAAAUUAAAAGCAUUUAUUAAUUUAUUAUAUGGCUUUAGUCCUGAAUUAACUGAAUAUGCAGAGAAUUCACCACAUAAAAAGAUGGCUCAGGAUAUUGUUGAAAGAUCAAUGGAAGUCCUUGAUGCCAUAAAGAGUGUUUUUUGCGGAAAUCCUAAAAAGCAAAGUAAACAGAUUUUGAAGCAGUUGUUACAGAAAGACAUGGAGCUUGUAAGACAAGCCAUGAAGGGAAAAAAAGCCUCUUAAGAUACAUUUACUGCUUGGUACUGUAGGUUUUUAUGAACAAUCAAGAGGUCUGGUUUCUUAAUUGUAACAGCAAUUGAAAUACACCUGUAGCCAUUUUCAUGCCUGAAAUUAAAUGUUUGUUUUUAAACAUUUUUG